UACGUAGGGUGCAAGCGUUAAUCGGAAUUAUUGGGCGUAAAGGGUGCGCAGGCGGAUGUAUAAGUCAGAUGUGAAAUCCCCGGGCUUAACCUGGGAAUUGCGUUUGAAACUAUAUGACUAGAGUGUGGUAGAGGGGAGUGGAAUUCCAUGUGUAGCAGUGAAAUGCGUAGAGAUGUGGAAGAACACCGAUGGCGAAGGCAGCUCCCUGGAUUAACACUGACGCUCAUGCACGAAAGCGUGGGGAGCAAACAGGAUUAGAAACCCUCGUAGUCC
Molecule: ribosomal RNA, 273 nt
Filed under: uncultured bacterium
Lineage: Bacteria
Description: partial 16S ribosomal RNA
Rfam family: Bacterial small subunit ribosomal RNA
Source: RNAcentral